RNAcentral lists this ribosomal RNA (498 nucleotides) under uncultured bacterium. RNAcentral's name for it is "bacterial SSU rRNA". It matches the Rfam family "Bacterial small subunit ribosomal RNA", at positions 8 to 507 of the family's 1533-position model. The record is from RNAcentral.
AGAGUUUGAUCAUGGCUCAGGAUGAACGCUAGCGGGAGGCCUAACACAUGCAAGCCGAGCGGUAGAGAUUCUUCGGGAUCUUGAGAGCGGCGUACGGGUGCGGAACACGUGUGCAACCUACCUUUAUCUGGAGGAUAGCCUUUCGAAAGGAAGAUUAAUACUCCAUAAUAUAUUGAUUGGCAUCGAUUGAUAUUGAAAGCUCCGGCGGAUAGAGAUGGGCACGCGCAAGAUUAGCUAGUUGGUGAGGUAACGGCUCACCGAGGCGAUGAUCUUUAGGGGCCUGAGAGGGUGAUCCCCCACACUGGUACUGAGACACGGACCAGACUCCUACGGGAGGCAGCAGUGAGGAAUAUUGGUCAAUGGGUGCAAGCCUGAACCAGCCAUCCCGCGUGAAGGACGACUGCCCUAUGGGUUGUAAACCUCUUUUGUAUAGGGAUAAACCUACCCUCGUGAGGGUAGCUGAAGGUACUAUACGAAUAAGCACCGGCUAACUCCGUG